Molecule: ribosomal RNA, 520 nt
Filed under: uncultured Gigaspora
Lineage: Eukaryota; Fungi; Glomeromycota; Glomeromycetes; Diversisporales; Gigasporaceae
Description: SSU rRNA
Rfam family: Eukaryotic small subunit ribosomal RNA
Source: RNAcentral
AGCAGCCGCGGUAAUUCCAGCUCCAAUAGCGUAUAUUAAAGUUGUUGCAGUUAAAAAGCUCGUAGUUGAGUUUCGGGGUUCUACCGUUGGUCGGGCAAUUGUCUGUACUGGCGUGUGGAAUUUCUACCUUCUGGGGAACCAUCAUGUUAUUUAUUUAGCGUGGUGGGAAACCAGGACCUUUACCUUGAAAAAAUUAGAGUGUUCAAAGCAGGCUUACGUCUGAAUACAUUAGCAUGGAAUAAUAAAAUAGGACGGUGGUCCUGUUUUGUUGGUUUCUGAAUCACCGUAAUGAUUAAUAGGGAUAGUUGGGGGCAUUAGUAUUCAAUUGUCAGAGGUGAAAUUCUUGGAUUUAUUGAAGACUAACUUCUGCGAAAGCAUUUGCCAAGGAUGUUUUCAUUAAUCAAGAACGAAAGUUAGGGGAUCGAAGACGAUCAGAUACCGUCGUAGUCUUAACCAUAAACUAUGCCGACUAGGGAUCGGACGAUGUUAAUUUUUCUUGACUCGUUCGGCGCCUUACGGG